Molecule: ribosomal RNA, 366 nt
Filed under: Paenibacillus sp. EKM211P
Lineage: Bacteria; Bacillati; Bacillota; Bacilli; Caryophanales; Paenibacillaceae
Description: bacterial SSU rRNA
Rfam family: Bacterial small subunit ribosomal RNA
Source: RNAcentral
GAUGACGUCAAAUCAUCAUGCCCCUUAUGACCUGGGCUACACACGUACUACAAUGGCCGGUACAACGGGAAGCGAAGCCGCGAGGUGGAGCCAAUCCUAGAAAAGCCGGUCUCAGUUCGGAUUGUAGGCUGCAACUCGCCUACAUGAAGUCGGAAUUGCUAGUAAUCGCGGAUCAGCAUGCCGCGGUGAAUACGUUCCCGGGUCUUGUACACACCGCCCGUCACACCACGAGAGUUUACAACACCCGAAGUCGGUGAGGUAACCGCAAGGAGCCAGCCGCCGAAGGUGGGGUAGAUGAUUGGGGUGAAGUCGUAACAAGGUAGCCGUAUCGGAAGGUGCGGCUGGAUCACCUCCUUUCUAUGGAGA